RNAcentral lists this ribosomal RNA (969 nucleotides) under Triticum aestivum (bread wheat). RNAcentral describes it as "partial small subunit ribosomal RNA". Lineage: Eukaryota; Viridiplantae; Streptophyta; Magnoliopsida; Poales; Poaceae. The record is from RNAcentral.
AUGGCUCUACCAAUCCACUUCAUGUCAGUUCUGCCGUUGCCGGCAUGGGCGCUGAAAAUUAUUAACAGGAGGUGUCGCGGAUUUUUAUGGAAGGGUGAUAGUGAUAUCAAUGGCGGCCAUUGUCUCCUACCAUGGUCGAGGGUGUGCAUGCCCAAGGAGUGUGGGGGUUUGGGCGUUUUGAACCUCAAGUGCUUUGGCUAUGCCCUCCGCUGCUGUUGGCCUUGUUUAAGGUGGGAGGAUGAGGAGAGGCCAUGGAAUCUACUGCCGGAGGAUCUGGAAAAGGAGGUCUCUUACAUCUUUAAGGCGGCCACUUCUAUCCACUUGGGGGACGGCAAGAGGGCUAAAUUCUGGACGGACAAGUGGCUGCCAGGAGGGAACAGCAAUUGGAUUAGGGAUAUCUCUGGAGGCAUUUCGGUACAGGCUAUGGCUCAAUAUCUUAAAAUUUGGGACAUUGCGCGAAGUACUUCAUUGUCGGUGGAAGCUACAGAUAGACUGGAUUGGAAGUGGACUGGAGAUCACAAAUUCUCUGUUAGUAGUGCGUAUGGUUUGUUCUUUGCAGCGAAUGUGCGCUCUGCAUGCCAUGGGCCGAUUUGGAAAUCCAAAGCACCACCAAGACGCAAAUUUUUUAUGUGGCUUGUCGUCCACCGUAGGUGUUUAACAACGGAUAAUCUGGAACGCAUGGGUUGGCCUUCUAAUGGAUCUUGCCCGCUAUGCCUCUCGGCACACGAAGAUUGCACACAUCUGUUUGUGCACUGCUGUUUCUCUCAGCAGGUUUGGAUAAAAUUCAGGGAUUGGACGAGGGCAGCCUUUCAAACUCCAGAUGGUAGCUUUGGUACUACGGAGGACUGGUGGCUGAAUACGAGGAAGGAAGUCCCUAAGAUGGAACGACGUAAUUUGGACACUAUCGCAAUCCUGCUACACUGGAGGAUUUGGAAAGAACGGAAUGCUCGGAUCUUUGAGCGUGGCUAG